Molecule: long non-coding RNA, 329 nt
Organism: Chiloscyllium plagiosum (whitespotted bambooshark)
Lineage: Eukaryota; Metazoa; Chordata; Chondrichthyes; Orectolobiformes; Hemiscylliidae
Source: RefSeq, a predicted model, not a curated record
CCCACCAAGAAAUCAUUAUGACUGUUAUUGUGAAAGUGUUGAUUAAUCACAGCUUCUCCAGCAAGUACUUCUUGUCCAGCUUUAUCCAUAAAGAGUACAAGGAGAUACUGAACAGAUCCAGCAGCUGACAGCUGAGGAGGUCAUUUUAUCCAACUGCCUGCCUCUCUUUCAUAGUUAAGUUGACCCCUAAAGUGUGUAUGAAGAGGGAGCAAAUGGUGUCCAAUGGGCAACCAGACCUGCACACAGUACGCCAGAAGAUGCCUCACCAUCGUCUGCAGAACCUCAGCAUGAUGUCCCAACUCCUAUACCCAAAUAUCUGUGUAAUAAAG